Molecule: non-coding RNA, 125 nt
Filed under: Symbiodinium sp. clade A
Lineage: Eukaryota; Dinophyceae; Suessiales; Symbiodiniaceae
Source: RNAcentral
CCAAGCUUGAGGCCCACAAAGGCUUCUCACUGGAAAGAGGGAAGUCUUGGUGGCUGAGGCAGAGGAGAUGGGUUGAGGCUGGACACAGAGCAAAUGAACCCUCUCACCUCAGGCAGUGGUAAGAC